UACAGAGGUCCCGAGCGUUGUUCGGAUUCACUGGGCGUAAAGGGUGCGCAGGUGGGCUGGUAAGUUCGAUGUGAAAGCCCCGGGCUUAACCCGGGAAUGGCAUUGGAUACUACUGGUCUGGAGGAUCGGAGGGGGGACUGGAAUUCUUGGUGUAGCAGUGAAAUGCGUAGAUAUCAAGAGGAACACCAGUGGCGAAGGCGAGUCCCUGGACGAUACCUGACACUGAGGCACGAAAGCCGGGGGAGCAAACAGG
This 253-nucleotide ribosomal RNA is filed under the name uncultured prokaryote. Its description in RNAcentral is "partial 16S ribosomal RNA". It matches the Rfam family "Bacterial small subunit ribosomal RNA", at positions 524 to 776 of the family's 1533-position model. The record is from RNAcentral.